Molecule: ribosomal RNA, 439 nt
Filed under: uncultured bacterium
Lineage: Bacteria
Description: bacterial SSU rRNA
Rfam family: Bacterial small subunit ribosomal RNA
Source: RNAcentral
AUGGGAACGCGAAGAACCUUACCUACUCUUGACAUCCAGAGAACUUAGCAGAGAUGCUUUGGUGCCUUCGGGAACUCUGAGACAGGUGCUGCAUGGCUGCCGUCAGCUCGUGUUGUGAAAUGUUGGGUUAAGUCCCGCAACGAGCGCAACCCUUAUCCUUUGUUGCCAGCGGUUAGGCCGGGAACUCAAAGGAGACUGCCAGUGAUAAACUGGAGGAAGGUGGGGAUGGCGUCAAGUCAUCAUGGCCCUUACGAGUAGGGCUACACACGUGCUACAAUGGCGCAUACAAAGAGAAGCGACCUCGCGAGAGCAAGCGGACCUCAUAAAGUGCGUCGUAGUCCGGAUUGGAGUCUGCAACUCGACUCCAUGAAGUCGGAAUCGCUAGUAAUCGUAGAUCAGAAUGCUACGGUGAAUACGUUCCCGGGUCUUGUACACACCG